This 2707-nucleotide ribosomal RNA is filed under the name Burkholderia lata. RNAcentral's name for it is "23S ribosomal RNA". It matches the Rfam family "Bacterial large subunit ribosomal RNA". Lineage: Bacteria; Pseudomonadati; Pseudomonadota; Betaproteobacteria; Burkholderiales; Burkholderiaceae. The record is from RNAcentral.
AGCGAACGCGGUGAACUGAAACAUCUAAGUAACCGCAGGAAAAGAAAUCAACCGAGAUUCCCAAAGUAGUGGCGAGCGAAAUGGGAUGAGCCUUGCACUCUUUAUUUGUAUUGUUAGCCGAACGCUCUGGAAAGUGCGGCCAUAGCGGGUGAUAGCCCCGUAGGCGAAAACAGUAUGAAAGAACUAGGUGUGCGACAAGUAGGGCGGGACACGUGAAAUCCUGUCUGAAGAUGGGGGGACCAUCCUCCAAGGCUAAAUACUCGUGAUCGACCGAUAGUGAACCAGUACCGUGAGGGAAAGGUGAAAAGAACCCCGGGAGGGGAGUGAAAUAGAUCCUGAAACCGCAUGCAUACAAACAGUCGGAGCCUCGAAAGGGGUGACGGCGUACCUUUUGUAUAAUGGGUCAGCGACUUACGUUCAGUAGCAAGCUUAACCGUAUAGGGCAGGCGUAGCGAAAGCGAGUCCGAAUAGGGCGUUCAGUUGCUGGGCGUAGACCCGAAACCAAGUGAUCUAUCCAUGGCCAGGAUGAAGGUGCGGUAACACGUACUGGAGGUCCGAACCCACUAACGUUGAAAAGUUAGGGGAUGAGCUGUGGAUAGGGGUGAAAGGCUAAACAAACUUGGAAAUAGCUGGUUCUCUCCGAAAACUAUUUAGGUAGUGCCUCGUGUCUCACCUUCGGGGGUAGAGCACUGUCAUGGUUGGGGGGUCCAUUGCGGAUUACCCCGCCAUAGCAAACUCCGAAUACCGAAGAGUGCAAUCACGGGAGACAGACAUCGGGUGCUAACGUCCGGUGUCAAGAGGGAAACAACCCAGACCGCCAGCUAAGGUCCCCAAAUAUAGCUAAGUGGGAAACGAAGUGGGAAGGCUAAAACAGUCAGGAGGUUGGCUUAGAAGCAGCCACCCUUUAAAGAAAGCGUAAUAGCUCACUGAUCGAGUCGUCCUGCGCGGAAGAUGUAACGGGGCUAAGCUAUAUACCGAAGCUGCGGAUGCACAUUUAUGUGCAUGGUAGGAGAGCGUUCUGUAAGCCUGCGAAGGUGUCUCGGAAGGGAUGCUGGAGGUAUCAGAAGUGCGAAUGCUGACAUGAGUAGCGAUAAAGGGGGUGAAAGGCCCCCUCGCCGUAAGCCCAAGGUUUCCUACGCAACGUUCAUCGGCGUAGGGUGAGUCGGCCCCUAAGGCGAGGCAGAAAUGCGUAGCUGAUGGGAAGCAGGUCAAUAUUCCUGCACCAUUGUUAGAUGCGAUGGGGGGACGGAUCGCGGAAGGUUGUCCGGGUGUUGGAAGUCCCGGUCGCUGCAUUGGAGAAGGCGCUUAGGCAAAUCCGGGCGCGGAAUUCAAGGGUGUGGCGCGAGCUCCUUAGGGAGCGAAGCAAUUGGAAGUGGUUCCAAGAAAAGCCUCUAAGCUUCAGUCUAAUGAUGACCGUACCGCAAACCGACACAGGUGGGCGAGAUGAGUAUUCUAAGGCGCUUGAGAGAACUCGGGAGAAGGAACUCGGCAAAUUGGUACCGUAACUUCGGGAUAAGGUACGCCCUUGUAGCUUGAUGCCCCUGCGGGCAAAGGGUGAAGGGGUUGCAAUAAACUGGUGGCUGCGACUGUUUAAUAAAAACACAGCACUCUGCAAACACGAAAGUGGACGUAUAGGGUGUGACGCCUGCCCGGUGCCGGAAGAUUAAAUGAUGGGGUGCAAGCUCUUGAUUGAAGUCCCGGUAAACGGCGGCCGUAACUAUAACGGUCCUAAGGUAGCGAAAUUCCUUGUCGGGUAAGUUCCGACCUGCACGAAUGGCGUAACGAUGGCCACACUGUCUCCUCCCGAGACUCAGCGAAGUUGAAGUGUUUGUGAUGAUGCAAUCUACCCGCGGCUAGACGGAAAGACCCCAUGAACCUUUACUGUAGCUUUGCAUUGGACUUUGAACCGAUCUGUGUAGGAUAGGUGGGAGGCUAUGAAACCGGAACGCUAGUUUCGGUGGAGCCGUCCUUGAAAUACCACCCUGGUUUGUUUGAGGUUCUAACCUUGGCCCGUGAUCCGGGUCGGGGACAGUGCAUGGUAGGCAGUUUGACUGGGGCGGUCUCCUCCCAAAGCGUAACGGAGGAGUACGAAGGUACGCUAGGUACGGUCGGAAAUCGUGCUGAUAGUGCAAUGGCAUAAGCGUGCUUAACUGCGAGACCGACAAGUCGAGCAGGUGCGAAAGCAGGUCAUAGUGAUCCGGUGGUUCUGUAUGGAAGGGCCAUCGCUCAACGGAUAAAAGGUACUCUGGGGAUAACAGGCUGAUACCGCCCAAGAGUUCAUAUCGACGGCGGUGUUUGGCACCUCGAUGUCGGCUCAUCUCAUCCUGGGGCUGUAGCCGGUCCCAAGGGUAUGGCUGUUCGCCAUUUAAAGAGGUACGUGAGCUGGGUUUAAAACGUCGUGAGACAGUUUGGUCCCUAUCUGCCGUGGGCGUUGGAUAUUUGAAGGGGGCUGCUCCUAGUACGAGAGGACCGGAGUGGACGAACCUCUGGUGUACCGGUUGUCACGCCAGUGGCAUCGCCGGGUAGCUAUGUUCGGAAGAGAUAACCGCUGAAAGCAUCUAAGCGGGAAACUCGCCUUAAGAUGAGAUAUCCCUGGGGACUAGAUCCCCUUGAAGGGUCGUUCGAGACCAGGACGUUGAUAGGUCAGGUGUGUAAGCGCAGUAAUGCGUUCAGCUAACUGAUACUAAUUGCCCGUAAGGCUUGAUCC